Molecule: unclassified non-coding RNA, 334 nt
Filed under: soil metagenome
Description: partial contains 5.8S ribosomal RNA, internal transcribed spacer 2, and large subunit ribosomal RNA
Rfam family: 5.8S ribosomal RNA (bases 1-120)
Source: RNAcentral
GAUGAAGAACGCAGCGAAAUGCGAUAAGUAAUGUGAAUUGCAGAAUUCAGUGAAUCAUCGAAUCUUUGAACGCACAUUGCGCCCGCCAGUAUUCUGGCGGGCAUGCCUGUUCGAGCGUCAUUUCAACCAUCAAGCCCCAGGCUUGUGUUGGAGCCCUGCGGCUGCCGCAGCCUCCCAAAACCAGUGGCGGGCUCGCUAUCACACCGAAUGCAGUAGUUUACUCUUCGCUCAGGGCGUGUGGCGGGUGCUAGCCGUGAAACCCCCAACUUCUCAAGGUUGACCUCGGAUCAGGUAGGAAUACCCGCUGAACUUAAGCAUAUCAAUAAGCGGAGGA